This 432-nucleotide ribosomal RNA is filed under the name uncultured bacterium. Its description in RNAcentral is "partial 16S ribosomal RNA". It matches the Rfam family "Bacterial small subunit ribosomal RNA", at positions 29 to 506 of the family's 1533-position model. The record is from RNAcentral.
AACGAACGCUGGCGGCAUGCCUAACACAUGCAAGUCGAACGAUACCUUCGUUUCUGGGGGCGCACGGUUGCGUAACGCGUGGUAACCUGCCCUUAGGUUCGGAAUAACUCCCCGAAAAGGGUGCUAAUAUCGUAUAAUUUCUGCGUACCUAAGAUUUAUCGCCUGUGGAUGGUCCCGCGUUGGAUUGGCUAGUUGUUAGGGUAAAAGACUACCAAUGCGACGAGCCAUAGCUGCUGUGGGAGGAUGAUACGCGACACUGGGACUGAGACACGGCCCAGCCUCCUGCGGGAGGCAGCAGUGGGGCAUAUUGGACAGUGGGCGAAAGCCUGAUCCAGCAAUGCCGCGUGAGUGAUGAAGGCCUUAGGGCUGUAAAGAUCUUUUACCAGGCAUGAUAAUGACAGUACUGGGAGAAUAAGCUCGGGUAACUUCCGU